GAGGAAAUAGGUGAUGGUGAAUCUCCACCGGGGAAAGCCAAGCCCAGAAGAACCAUAAGGGUCAACACCACCAUGGAGAUUAUGGCAAAGAAGCUUCUGGCGAUUCCAAAUUUGGAUACUGACCUAAAGGAUCAGGCUUUGAAUAUCAGCAGCUAUACCAGGAUUGAUGGUAAGGUCAAAAUACUAAACAUUUUUCCGAGGAAAGUUGUGGUUGAGAUGAAUUGCACAAUCACAUACAACAUCACCACUGGGUCGAUUAAAAAUGGUGACAAUUGUCUUGGAAACGUUGAUAUUUAGGUUGGUUUUGAUGUUAAUUCUUUGUGAAAUUUGUUAGGAUGAUGAUAGAAGUGGAAAAUAGCUAGUGUUUGUAGGUUGCUCAAUUUUCUGCAGUUUAAUUGUAUCUGAUUAUGGAUAUAUGAUUUGAGUUAAUCCUAUNUAAACCCUAGACCACUUACACGCACUGAUUCUUGAGUAAUUUUUUGGAAAAAAAAACUUGUCACCUUUAAAAAUAUACUAAUUUUUUAGACGAAAUAGAAAAAAAGAUUAAUAUAUAUAUAUAUAUAUAUAUAUAUAUAUAUAUAUAUAUAUAUAAAUAUAAGAUAACUGUGAUUUCAAGUUUAUAUUUUGAUGGAAAUAUCACAUUUGUUCCUUUUUUAUCUAUUUGUAAGAUUUUUUUGGUACAUUCUAUUGUAAGUUUAGAACAUGUAUGUGAUAACUAGUGUAAAAUUAAUGGUUACCCUCCUAGGUAUAAAGGGAAAACAAUUGACAAUUAUCAUAAAAAAUAAGUUAAAGAAUGCAUAUAAAAAGUAAAUAUUUUAAAUAUGUUUUAAUUUUAUUUAUUGCAUUUAUUUUAAAUGUAAUUUUCUUUUAUAAUUUUAAAUUAAAAAUGACUUUUUCGUUUUAAUGGUAUUUCAAUUUUGUUUAUUUUAAAUUCUUUAUAACUGACGAACAUAUUUUAUUAAUAAGCACAACACUAAAUUGGGCGAGUAGCAUAAAUUUUCUUAAAUCAAUAAAUGCAUAUAUUUUUAUAAUUUAAUACGGAAAUGAUAUUAAAGCUUAUAUUGGCUUAACGAAUGAGAGUGAAAUUAUCUUAAAAAUUUAACGAUUGUACAUAAAAAGUUAAAGUGCAGAAAAAAAAAAAAAUCUGUUAGAAAUAAAAAUAUAUCAGAAACAUAAUAAAUUUAUGUUCGCUGAUAGUUCGGUACAUGAUUUCCAGUUUUACUUAUUGAUGCUUAUAUGAUUUCCAGUUUUACUUUCUGAUUCUUACAGACAAUUGCUGGGGCCAUUGUGAUUGGUAUUAUACUUCAUGCCGGAGAUCACCUUGCUUGUGAUUUUCCAAGACUUGUAAGUACGUCUGAAGACAAUUAUGAGAAGUAUUUGAAAGGUGUAUUUGGUGAUAAUAAACCCAGUUACGGAGACCUGGCUAAAGGCGUCGAGGGUGUGACUGGAAUUUUGAUGGUGAUUCUUAUGAUAAUAGCAUUUACACUUGCAACCAAAUGGUUCCGGAGAAAUCUCAUUAAGCUGCCUAAACCAUUUAGUAGGCUCACUGGCUUCAAUGCCUUCUGGUAUUCACAUCAUCUGUUUGUCAUCGUAUACGUCCUUCUUAUAAUCCACGGAACAAAACUUUACCUCGUGCAUAAAUGGUACCUUAAAACGGUAUACAUAUUUCAAUUAUUUAGGAUAUCUUUCAAAUGCUUUGUUUACCUGUAAUUAGUGACUUACGUUCUGGUUUCCGUUUGCAGACAUGGAUGUAUCUUGCGGUUCCAGUUUUACUUUAUACGUCCGAAAGAAUACUCAGACUAUUUCGUUCUGGCCUGUAUACAGUUCGUCUUGGAAAGGUUAGCUGAUUAAGUGGACCAAUAGUUAGGCUCUAAAUUUUCGACUUCAUAACAAACAUGGUUUUAUUACUUGUCUCAACUACUAUUAAGUGCAAUUGGCCUGGGCUAAUUGUGAGCAUCCAGACUCUAGAGUCAUAAAAAGUAAACUAAAAACUGCCAGGAACUUCCAUAUCUAAAAAACUACUCUAACUCUAUAACUUCAUAUAAAUUAGUGCCAAAUAUAAAUUGAACAGCAUGCUAACUUCGUUUUCUCCCUUUUUCUUUUUCUUUUUUAAAAAAUGGAAAAUAUUCAGGUUGCCAUAUAUCCUGGAAAUGUUCUCACAUUGCAAAUGUCUAAGCCUCCUCAAUUUCGUUACAAGAGCGGACAAUACAUGUUUGUGCAGUGUCCUGCUGUUUCUCCGUUUGAAUGGUGAGUUGCAUUUCAAUUUUAAACAAAAAUAUGUUUCAUGUAGCGGUUUUACGAUUUACAUUAUGCUUCAUAAUUGAGACACUGUGUACUGUUUUGAACAAAGAAAUAUGGAAAACGAUACGAAGUUUGGAAAAUGAACUUUCCUCUGCAUUUUUACUAUUCAUAAAACAGAGAUCGAACCGGUAGUACUUUUGCCCCUGAUGAUCAGACAUAUUGAAUAAGAAAAGAAGGGAAAGUAAACUGAUAUUGCAGUUUAUGAGCUGUUAGAAGUCUCGAUUUUGUUUCAGAGUGAAACUUGUGAAAUUUUUACUCAACAAGUAUCGGUAUCUAACAGUAACAUGGGACAAUAUUUUGUGUCAGGCAUCCGUUCUCUAUUACCUCAGCCCCUGGCGACGACUACCUGAGUGUUCAUAUUCGGCAACUGGGUGAUUGGACACAGGAGCUUAAAAGGGUGUUCUCUGAGGCCUGUGAGCCUCCUGUAUCUGGGAAGAGUGGGCUUCUCAGGGCUGAUGAAACCACGAAGAAAAGGUAUAUGUGGCACUUGCCAUUUUCUGUUGUUGCUUUCUUAUCUUUGGUCCUGGGAAAGUAGGGGAAAAUAAUUUAUACAUGAUUCCAAGCCAAAACUUGUUAACCAUUGAUGCAGUUUGCCGAAGUUAAAGAUCGAUGGACCUUACGGUGCACCGGCACAAGAUUAUAAAAAAUAUGAUGUUUUGUUACUAGUCGGUCUCGGGAUAGGAGCAACACCUUUCAUCAGCAUUCUAAAAGAUCUUCUCAACAACAUCAUCAAAAUGGAGGAAAUGGCGGUGAGUUCCAGCGGUUCAUUGUAUUAGUUAAUGAACAUUAAGACAGUAAAGUAGUUAAUAUUCAUGUUAUUCAUAGCUUAACUCUGGCGUGUUAUGUGUCGCAUACAAAUUGUCAUGCUCAUGAAUAUUAUUUGAACAUCUGUAUGCAAAUUUAGUACCACGAAAUAUAACUAUCUGGGUUACUUUUAUUCAGGAUUCAAUCUCUGAUAUAAGUAGAGGUUCAGACCUUAGUGUUGGGAGUACUACAGACUCACCAUCUCUUAAUAAAAUUGCGCCAAAACGGAAGAAAACACUUAAGACCACCAACGCUUAUUUUUACUGGGUUACAAGAGAGCAAGGUUCUUUUGAUUGGUUCAAAGGAGUCAUGAAUGAAGUAGCAGAGCUUGAUCAAAGGGUAUUUAGUUUCUGCAGAAAAUUUAUUUCUUAUUAUACUUCCUCCCGAAGAACUUUUAGUAUUCCUUGUCCCUGCCACAAAGAUGAAUAAUGUUUUUUUCGCAAUGGCUAAUGUUGAACAUCAAAUUUGGACUUCAGGGUGUCAUUGAGAUGCACAACUACUUGACCAGCGUAUACGAGGAAGGGGAUGCUAGAUCUGCCCUCAUCACCAUGGUACAAGCACUCAACCAUGCCAAAAACGGAGUUGACAUUGUUUCUGGGACCAGAGUAAGCCUUCGCGUUUCAUUGUUUUUAUGUAUUAUUCGCUAUGUUUAGCAUUUAGCCCCUUUUUAAUGCCAUAAUCGGAGUGAGUAAAUUUAAAACCUCGCUUACUUCUUUGAAUUCCUACUACCAGGUGCGAACUCAUUUUGCUAGGCCCAACUGGAAGAAGGUUUUCAAUAAAAUGUGCUCCAAGCACUAUAAUGGAAGAAUAGGUUAGUUAGUCUCAAUCAAGCGUAUUUUGGUAGUCGGUAGACUUUUUUUUAACCCCCUUUUUUCAAUGUCAUCAUUUGAACACGUCAAGUAAGUCUUAGAUAUUACAAAAUUUUAUUUAUAUGUCUCACUUUUUUAUCUUUUUUUUUUAUACACUUAUCUCAAAAUUAUUCUUUCAUUCUUCCUUUUAUUUUCUCCCUUUACUGACAUUAUGGCUAUCAUGAUUCGGAUCAGGGGUAUUUUAUUGUGGUGCACCAGUUUUGGCCAAAGAACUGAGCAAGCUCUGCUUCGAGUUCAAUGAAAAGGGUCCAACAAAAUUUGAGUUCCACAAGGAGCACUUUUAAAGAAUUUGGGCUGAGCACUCCCAAAUGUACUAAAAGUUAACAGGGUCAUCUCAACUUAAACCCGUCAUUUUAGUAACUUGGCGUGGUCAUAUUAUAUGAUUAAUAUUCAACAAGUAAAACCUUUUUGUAUAGAUGUGAAGCAUUGUACAUAGAGCCAGCAAGAUUGCUUGGCAUUUCAGUAUACAUGUGGCCUCAUAACUAAAGAGAUAAGCGCAGUGGUACUGUCCACCACCUAGAGUGCGAUACAACUACAUUGGAGAUGCUGACCUGAUCGUGGGAGCCACAUCAACUGUUGGCAGAUAGAUCCACAGUGAAUUGGAUAUGGACAUUUUUGAAAAAGAUAAUAGAAGGUAAAGGGACUAAAGAAUGUGGCUGGGAUACCUUUUCAAGAGCAACUUUCUCAUUUUUCCUUCCAGGGGAUUCCAGGAAUUCUUGAGAACUCAGAGUGAGGCAAAUGAAUCACCUCUACUUCUGCUUGGGUUCUAACGGGGAGAAGGGGAUUAUACAUAUCUAUGUAAAUGAAACCGGUAUAGUGUUUUCCUUUUUCAAAGUGAUCAAUAGUUUUAACCUUUAUUUAUUUAUUUGAUUAUAUACAUGAAGUAAAACUAUUGGUUUGUGAACACGACUUAAACUAUUGAGCCACGAUGAUAUUUUCUGGUGCUCAUUUAGUCAAUGCAUAUUAAAAUUAUCUGCGCAGAGUUUACGAACCAGAUCAGGAGUAUAUUAAUAUCAAAUUCUUCAGUAAGGUUCCAUUUGGGUCAUGUUUUCGGCAAAGACUUUGAAUAUGAUUUAAACACGUCCUCAAUAAAUGCUACUCGAAUCCUCGUUUGGAUGCAAAGGAUGUGCGUGAAAUAAACUCAAGAUGCUUAAUCUCUUCUGCAUAAUGGAGAAGGGGUUUGUUCAAUGUCAGCUGUAAUGAAAUUGUAAAUACACAACUGUAUGCGCCAUUUGAAAUAUACAAAAUUUUACAUUACAAAUUACUAUUUUUUCUCUUGGUUGUUGAUUUUCUGACCUGCAUGUCAGAAUUUAUGAAAAUAAGAAAAAAAAUAUUAAACACGUUACUAAAGUUCUUUGUGAUAUUAUUAAUCUUAUUAUAUAUUGUGGAGCAAUUUAGAGCAGAUGGCUCGGCGCAUAGAGAGGAUCUAGAGUAUGAAUACAUUUUUAUUUAGAUCAAACAUCCGUAUGAUACACUAAAUGCACAACUGAUAAAAGUACGUCUUGUGUAAAAUGCAAGCCCAAAGGGCUCAAAGGGUUGAGUUCCACCGUUUUUGUGAAAUGGAAGAAGGAUUUAUGAUAUCUCUUUGACCGAUUCACCGUGUAAGGGAAACGAUAUGGAUAAAAUGGUGGGGACUAUCAACAUUAGAAUCAUGUGGGAUAAGUUUGAUGACUUGAAUAUUAAUUAACUUCCCCAUCAAAGAGUUAAAAUUAUUUUCCAAAAGAAAAGCUGGGUCUUCAUGACCAAAUCAAAACAUAUUUAAUUGCCACAUUUCUCAACGGCGAAAAUCGAAAAGGUAGUGGAAUGAAACUGGCCUAAUUUUUUAGUUUGUUACAACGCAUUUGCUGAUCCAAUACUCUGCACUGCUGCAUUUCAUAUUCCUUCAGGCCGGAUGUGUCUUUUCCCUCACUCCUAUUUCUAGAAUCCUUCAAAGUCACUACUCUUGAAUCAUCAUCUCAAUUUUUUAGUCCAUAAAUCAAGUACAUUUAUCAUUCUUUGCCUUUAAUUUAAGUAACUUCCCAUUUAGUCAUCGGUCAAGCCGUGCAAAUACUGGAAACGCGUUCAGGAAAACAUCAACCCAUAAUUCCUUAAUUCUCAAUACCUCAAGGUCAAGACAAAUAACCUUUUUUUCUUCUUUUUACCGUUUCUGAUCAAUACAAGAUUUUCAACCAAAAACUUCAAAUUAAUUGCACAAAAAUACUAAUAUUUAUUCAUGUGGUCACUCUCUUAUCAUAUGUGUGGAGAUCGAAAACCACCAACAUCUCAUCAUAUAUAUAUAUGUAUACCUGAACAACAAGAUUUUAUUAGUAUUCAAGACAAAACAAAAAAUGUUAUAUUUAAUAACUAAAUUUAUCAUGUCAAUUACAUCGCAGGUGCAGGAGACAGAGUUGUCGCUAUCAACGUGGAAUCAACCAUUUGAAGACAUUUCAUAUUGGAAAUUGAUCUAAGUACCCACCACCCAUUUGCUAGUAAGCCAUAAUGUAUAGUUUCAAGAAGACCAUCUCAUACUAAGUUAAAUUCCCAGUACCAUCACAAAUCAGCAUGGCUCAGCAGAGUCCUGAUCAGCAGAUCAAGCCCUUGGCUCCAUUCAUAUCAUCAUCCCACUUCAACUCACAAGAAGAUCAAGACUACGCAUCCACACACAGAAAAAACAUUCGAAUAAGAAAGUUUAUCCAGUGCUGCGGUUGUGCCACUGCAAUUGCUGUGCUACUUGUGGUCAUAGUACUGGUCUUGGGCUUCACCGUUUACAAUGUCAAAGACCCCCAGGUGAGGAUGAACGGGGCUACCCUUAUCAGUGGAACUUUCGCCAACGGUGCUACUGACAACGUUACGAUUCUUGCUGAUAUAUCUGUGAAGAAUCCAAACGCUUUUACCUUCAGAUUUGAAAACGCCUGGACCGAUGUUUACUAUAACGGAGAGGAAAUAGGUGAUGGUGAAUCUCCACCGGGGAAAGCCAAGCCCAGAAGAACCAUAAGGGUCAACACCACCAUGGAGAUUAUGGCAAAGAAGCUUCUGGCGAUUCCAAAUUUGGAUACUGACCUAAAGGAUCAGGCUUUGAAUAUCAGCAGCUAUACCAGGAUUGAUGGUAAGGUCAAAAUACUAAACAUUUUUCCGAGGAAAGUUGUGGUUGAGAUGAAUUGCACAAUCACAUACAACAUCACC
This 7136-nucleotide long non-coding RNA is filed under the name Vigna radiata. RNAcentral's name for it is "long non-coding RNA (VRAD_LNC007658)". The record is from RNAcentral. Lineage: Eukaryota; Viridiplantae; Streptophyta; Magnoliopsida; Fabales; Fabaceae.